Molecule: long non-coding RNA, 2923 nt
Filed under: Nicotiana benthamiana
Lineage: Eukaryota; Viridiplantae; Streptophyta; Magnoliopsida; Solanales; Solanaceae
Description: long non-coding RNA (NBEN_LNC018717)
Source: RNAcentral
ACUAUAUAUCUCUCCAAACCUCACCCCACCCCCCAAAUCCAUCCCUUCUCUAACCCCUCGCGACCGGAACCCUAGCACCACUCCACCUCCGCCGCUCCUCCAUUCAACGCCGCCGCCGGCUGCGAGACACCAAUGACCCUCAAAUUUACGCCAAAUCUUCCCCGUCACCUCCCCUUUCCAAAUCCAUGCUUGGUCUCUCUCAAAUCCCCACCAGUCUUCUUGAAUAUUCAAUUGAAUAGCUGGCUGCUCCGCCGUGCACGGCGACGACGACUCAAACUACCCCAAUGGCAACCAAAAUCACAACCUGAAUUCCUCUGCAUCUCCCCAUUCCCAGUCCAUAACAUGUUUCCUUCGAAUAAACUUAGAGCUCUUCGAAUCUGUGUUCAAAGUCAUGAACCCUAACACCGCCCAAAAUUCCGGCGGUGGUGGAACCAUCGUCAACCAGUGCCAAAAGCAUACCCCUGAACCUCUUCUUUUUCAUUUUUCCAAAUCUCAACAGAGUUCCUAGCAAAUCCCCCUCGAUCUAUCAAAAUCCCAAAUCUCAUUUCGGAACCCUAGGAUAUAAAAUCACCACAUCUUUGAUUUCGUUGGUAUGCAUGGCCUUGGAGCUUUGUUUAUCUCGAGUUUGGAGUUCUAAUUCAUCCCGGAUUAAUGUUGUCAUUUGUACUUGACAAAGAAAAAAUGAAUAACAUUAAUCACGUUAAAUCUGUAUGGGUUCGUAGUUUAAGUUGGUAAGUCUUCUCAAUUUUCCCUUUUCUUUUCAAUUUCGUGCUGUUUCGCUUGCAUAUUUCUCUUUACUAUUUCAUUUGUUUUUCUAAUGCUUGUUCUCUGAGUGAAGAGAAAUGUAAGUCUCCAAUCUAAUUUUCCCUCAUGAUAAAGGCAGUGAUCAUAGUUGUGUCGUGGGUUCUCAAUUUUUCCCCUUCAUUGUUUAUAUUUAUUUUGAACAAUACUAUCUGUUUCUUUCUUUUGAUUAUACCACUGUGCUUUUGAUAAUUAGCUUCAAUUAGAUUUGCAUUAAUUUGUUAAUUUAGUUCUGAAUUGGUUUCAUUUUAGCUUAACAAGGAGGUCAUUUGUUAGUUUAGAUUUUGGGCUUUAAAAGUGGUUCAUUUGUUUAUCUGUUCUAUUUGUCACUGGUUUGCUAAUUGGGUUCCUGAAUGAUGUUGGGCCAUAAGUUCAGUUCUGGCCUGCUCAUUUGGGAUUCGUCUCUUGGGUCGGCUUUGAUCCAUAACUAUUUGAGCAUGAGGUAAAAAUCAGGAAGUUCAAAGGGUAAUUUCAGGGCACUUUGGGGGUAGUUUAGGAAAUAGGACACAUGGAAACGUUUUGUUACUGAUUUGGAAGUUUCUAAUGAGGGGUUCCAUGUGAAUUUCAGAUUUUGUUAGAGUAUAACUUGAGUAGCAAGCCAAUAAGUGAGGGACUUUUAAUCUAAAAAAGGAAUUAAAAGGGGACUCAAAUGCAAACUUAAAAAUCUGAGAUGCCCUACUUUGUGGCAUAUAGAGAGAUCAUUCCUUGCCUUUGAAGAGAGAGAUUCUUGGUUUUAGAUAGCUAAAAAAAUUGAAAAAUGCCAGGCGGCUACAUCACCAAAUAUCGCUAUUUCAUUGCCUCUGCUUUGAUUUUUUCUCACAUCUGAAGCAUUUUUGGGUUUCACUUAAAGCUAAAGCAUGAUUUGAAUCUAGCUUUAAAUUCUAGGAUUUGUGUUGGGGUGGAAGUUACUGUUUCAUUGGUAUUUAAGUUGAUUUCACUAGUCAUUUGGUUGAAUCUGGGACUUUGCUUGCUGCUGUCAAAUUCUAUUUCGUUUGGUCUACUGCUGCUGUUGCUUGCUUACCAUAAUCACCUCUUUUCUUUCUAUAAUCUCUAGGUACACUCCUUCUAACUAUAUCGUCUGUGGAGUAAAAUUUGAGAAAUACAUUGAUUUGAAGAGUUGAAGCUAUGAUCAAUGUUAGUUUCUCUUUGUUUUUUUUUUUUUUUUUUUAUAUUUAUGCGAUUGAAUCUAAUCCAUGUUGUGCUUCAUUAUAGUAGUAUCUACACUUCUUUCGUUUUAUUAAGUGUGGAUUGGAAUUCGGGAAUGUAUAACUGCUUCAAAAACAUUUUGGAUCUUGUAAUAUGUGACUUUAGAUUGGUACUUUAAUUGCCCGACACUGUUUAGUUUUGCUGCCCCAAUUGUAGAUUUGGAUACAUGGGACACUGAAUAUAGGUCAUGAUGUUGCUCCCCAGUACAUGAUUUGGAACUUGUUUUAAAAAUCUUCUCUGUGGGAAUUCAAUGGAGCAUUCAGGAGAUAAGAAUAUUGUCAAAUGGAACCUGAUUAUGUUCAAUGUUUCGUUUCAAGUGAUGUUGCUUUCCUGGAAAAUAGUUCAUGAAGUCACUAAUUUGUAUUUUUAAGUUUGGUUUCGAGAUUGUCUUUAGAAAUAUUUUAGCAUGAUUCAUUCGAUGUUUGUUGAGUUUAGGUGUUACUAGAGGAUGUUAAUUAGGAAAUUAAACCUGGAUUAGCGAGUUAGAUUGUAUGUUCAUUUAGAAAUGUGCUAGACAAAUCAAGAGGCAUGUUGCUUGUUCUACUUUCAAGUCAUUAAAGGUUCCAGAAUUGAAUAUUGGUUUAGUCAAGUAGCUCACUAAUUAAGCUGAGUAGCAUCAAGCAGGUUGCAUCAUAUCAUUUUCGUAGAAACUUUGAAUUAUCUUGGAUCGUUUAAUUCCAUCAAGGAUUGGGCUCAUCGCUAGCCCAAGUCCGAAGGAGUUUUUUAGUCUCAUAAAGAAAAUCCCCCUUUUCCUUAGGCAGUCAAUUAGACCUUUUUCAGAUUCGGGACAUGCCAUUUAGCGAAUUUUCAUGGCUUCCCGCAAAGUUAAUAACACGUUAGUCGCUUCAGGCGCGUUCUUUAAUAAUUUAUCUUCCUAAUUGUGGGUGCGCAUUUAUUUGACUCAAAUCUAAAUCCC